Molecule: long non-coding RNA, 1378 nt
Filed under: Homo sapiens (human)
Lineage: Eukaryota; Metazoa; Chordata; Mammalia; Primates; Hominidae
Description: PREDICTED lncRNA (TCONS_00151105)
Source: RNAcentral
AGGUGGUAAAUCCUGGCCAAGGCUCCUCGAGCCAGGCCGGCUGGCAGUGCUGCAUCGUGCUGAAGGCGCUGAGGUUGCAGCGGAUGCAUUCCGGGCCAGUGAUAUGAUGUGGACAGGAAAAGUCUUUUGUUCUGGGAAAAUGGAGGACUGAAACCUCUUCAUGUCUUUUUCCCAGGCCCUGAUUUAGGAAGACCAAAACAGGGACUUCUACAGUAGCAGCUUAAUCAGCAGAUGCUGGGUGGUCGCCUCUGCACAUGGCCUGGGGGGCGGGGCGCCUUACCGCGUCACACUGGGUGGAUGGGCCUGUGUGUGGCCUCUCUCCAGCUGUGGCUGACAGUACUCACUCAGCCCAGGCUUCCAGGCCCUCCUGGGCCCUCCUAUCCACUGAAGGAAAUGGGAGAUGAGUGGGUAAUGGAAAAGCCUUUGGAGUCAGAUGUAAAUCCAUGACUUGACCACUUAUUGCUGUGAGACCCUGGACAGCUGGAUAUAGAGUUCUUGUUCUAGCAUCCGCCCUGGGAAUCCCCGGAACUGGGCCUCUUACCGACACCAUUGCCUGUAAUCCACAAACCUAGGAGUUACUCCAGUUACUGUCCUACUGAAGGACCCCCAUCCCAUCUGGGCUACUAUAACCACAUGGACCAUCCCUUGCUUCAAUCAUAGAAUUCUUUCUUCAGAUCAAAGUAUAUUCAGACACUCGAUACAGUAACAAAAGCAAGCUAUCCUGGAAGGAAGAAGGAAUCAGGAGGCAGAGCACAUGGUUAAAGCAUGAGAUGUGAAACCAGGAAGAACCAGGUCUGAACCUUAGCUCCACCAGUGGUAGCUUCAAACCUUGGUCCUUUCUGAGCCUGCUUCUUCAACCGUAAGGAACUCGGAAACGGGACCCAGAAAGUUGUUUUCUCAAGUGGAUGGAACAACACAAGCAAUCAGUAUCCUGAAACAGGCCCUGUUCCAACAAACUGACCCAGAAAGCAAGUAUGAGGACUCCUGUUUCCCUACGUACUCACUACUACAGCAAAGAUAUCAAACAUUGAUACCCACCAAUCUCUGGAUGGAAAAACAAAUCUCAGGGAAAAGCACUUGGGACCCGCCAAACGGAGGAUGCAAAAAGGGGUGUCUAACACUGUACCCCUCCCUCCCGCUUACCCAGCAAUGGGGGAGAAAAAGUCGCUGGGCAUGGCAUACCACCGUUCACCAACGCCGUGGGCAGCAGGAACAAAUAAGAGCUGUAGUGCUUCUUGAGAGCCCAGACCUCGAGACUCUCCAAAACAGGGUUGUAAUAUGCCCCUGCUCACCAAGCCCUUGGCAGUGGGAACUGAGCUGUGACAUCCUUGGGGCUCUGCAGUUCCUGGCAUCUCCGAGUUUUCAGGCACCACCACAU